This 563-nucleotide ribosomal RNA is filed under the name uncultured bacterium. RNAcentral describes it as "bacterial SSU rRNA". It matches the Rfam family "Bacterial small subunit ribosomal RNA", at positions 338 to 916 of the family's 1533-position model. The record is from RNAcentral.
CCUACGGGAGGCAGCAGUAAGGAAUCUUCCACAAUGGACGAAAGUCUGAUGGAGCAACGCCGCGUGCAGGAUGAAGGCUUUCGGGUCGUAAACUGCUUUUAUAUGGGAAGAUUAUGACGGUACCAUAUGAAUAAGGACCGGCUAACUACGUGCCAGCAGCCGCGGUAAUACGUAGGGUCCAAGCGAUAUCCGGAAUUACUGGGCGUAAAGCGUGUGUAGGUGGAUUAAUAAGUGUGAUGCGAAAUCCGGCGGCUCAACCGUUUGGACUGUGUCGCAUACUGUUAGUCUAGAGGACGGCAGAGGUAAGUGGAAUUACGGGUGUAGCAGUGAAAUGCGUAGAUAUCCGUAGGAACACCAAUGGCGAAGGCAGCUUACUGGGCCACACCUGACACUGAGACACGAAAGCGUGGGGAGCGAACAGGAUUAGAUACCCUGGUAGUCCACGCCGUAAACGAUGCAUACUAUUAGUAUGGGGUAUCGACCCCCUGUGCUGAGAAGCUAACGCGAUAAGUAUGCCGCCUGGGGAGUACGAGCGCAAGCUUAAAACUCAAAGGAAUUGACGG